RNAcentral lists this ribosomal RNA (149 nucleotides) under Diaporthe sp. HLJYC013. RNAcentral describes it as "5.8S ribosomal RNA". It matches the Rfam family "5.8S ribosomal RNA". Rfam says of the family: 5.8S ribosomal RNA (5.8S rRNA) is a component of the large subunit of the eukaryotic ribosome. Lineage: Eukaryota; Fungi; Ascomycota; Sordariomycetes; Diaporthales; Diaporthaceae. The record is from RNAcentral.
CGGAUCUCUUGGUUCUGGCAUCGAUGAAGAACGCAGCGAAAUGCGAUAAGUAAUGUGAAUUGCAGAAUUCAGUGAAUCAUCGAAUCUUUGAACGCACAUUGCGCCCUCUGGUAUUCCGGAGGGCAUGCCUGUUCGAGCGUCAUUUCAAC